AACGAACGCUGGCGGCGUGCCUAAUACAUGCAAGUAGAACGCAGUUGCGAACGGAAUAGUAACGAGUAGGUAACUGCCUGGUAGCGGGGGAUAACUAUUGGACACAAUAGCUAAUACCGCAUACAGCCAGAUGUACCUGCGUUGUAUUAGCUAGUUUGUGAGGUAACGGCUUAACAAGGCAACGAUACAUAGCCUAUCUGAGGGGGGGAACGGCCAACCCUGGAAUGAGACACGGCCCAGCACCCUGCGGGAGGAAGCAGGAGGGAAUUUUCGGCAAUGGGGGGAACCCUGACCGAGCAACGCCGCGGGAGUGAAGAAGGUUUGCGGAUCGUAAAGCUCUGUUGUUAAGGAAGCGUUACUUAACCAGAAAGGGACGGCUAACUACGUGCCAGCAGCCGCGGUAAUAC
This 407-nucleotide ribosomal RNA is filed under the name uncultured bacterium. Its description in RNAcentral is "partial 16S ribosomal RNA". It matches the Rfam family "Bacterial small subunit ribosomal RNA", at positions 29 to 526 of the family's 1533-position model. The record is from RNAcentral.